Molecule: ribosomal RNA, 266 nt
Filed under: uncultured bacterium
Lineage: Bacteria
Description: partial 16S ribosomal RNA
Rfam family: Bacterial small subunit ribosomal RNA
Source: RNAcentral
UGGGUUAGUGGCGGACGGGUGAGUAACGCGUGGGCAACCUGCCUUACACAGGGGGAUAACACUUAGAAAUAGGUGCUAAAACCGCGUAAGCGCACAGCUUCGCAUGAAGCGGUGUGAAAAACUCCGGUGGUGUAAGAUGGACCCGCGUCUGAUUAGCUUGUUGGCGGGGUAACGGCCCACCAAGGCGACGAUCAGUAGCCGGCCUGAGAGGGCGGACGGCCACAUUGGGACUGAGACACGGCCCAGACUCCUACGGAAGGCAGCAG